UGGGGAUGACCUCUAGCUUGGUAGUUCUGGUACGUGUGUUAACUCCAUCUCCAUACAAAGAGGAAAAGCUGCAUUCAGCUGAUAGAUCAUGCGUGAAUUAUAAUCAUUUCCUAUACGUAUAUAUUCUUGGCAUGAUGAUUUGAGUGUUGAUCUGUACCUUGUAAUAGGCUAAUAUGUUUACCAAUUAUUCUGGUAGUAGCAUUAGUCGUUCUGCUGAUCUAUAUGUGGGCAGAAACAUAUUUUGUGUUGGCCAGCAUUUUGGUAUUGCCCCCCAAAGGCCUGAAAUCAAAUAAUGUGUCCUGUUGCUCGAUAAUGAGAUCCGGGUUGCUUCCAAUUGAAAGCAAUGUACGGAGUAUAGUUAGAAACUUGGUAUGCUGUAUGCAUAUUUUACAAACUGCUAUUUCAUGGUUGGUGGUAGAUACCGAUAUGUCGCGGAAAACAUUUUUUUGCACUUCGUAUAAUUAGAAAUAUGGUUCAAUCAAUACAUAGGAUGACCCAUUUUGAAAUAUGUCUUUUUAAGUCAAACUAGAAAUAUAAACAAUUUGUGCCUCUUGCUGCUAAUUUAGGACUUCAGGUUGGAUAUUCUCUCUGUAAGAACUGAUCACCUACGUGAUCUAGGUAUAUGAAUUUGUUUAGUACUGCCUUUUAAUUUCCGUUUUGACAUGCGAAUGUUUCCUUUCUUCUGUUACAGAUUCAGAAAUAAGAAGUUGCCCUUGGUAGAUUUUUCGACCAUUGUAUCAUUGCAUCAUGAUGCUUUGAAAGAUGAUACAGCCUACGAUCAAUAUUCAGAUGAUCUCUUUCAGCUUAACAUGUUCAAUGUUGAACAGUGCUAUUUUAAUAUGAGCUUACCUGAUCCUCUUGUAAUUUGCUGCUAAUAUUUCUACUAGUGUGGCUGUUUUUUAGGUUUGAAGUUUAUUGGUCCUUAUUUUUUGAGGCUAACGUUUAUUGUUCCUGAAUGAAGGUCUACUAGGAUCCUAAGCAUCAUAUUGGCUAUAUUCACAACUGUGGUAGGUUGUCUAUCUCUUCUCCAAUUUUGAAAGCAUAUAACUUAAUCAAAGAAAAUGAGCAUACAUGUGUUGUUUCUCGGACUUGAUUUUCUAUCUUGAGUUGGACAAUAAGAUGUUUUCUUAAACUGUAAUUGGACAAUAAGAUGUUGAUUGUAAGUCCCGCCUGUUAAUUCAUAAUGAGGUCUCUGAAUUUCUGUUUUAUCACUUGAUGGGUGAUGUACAAUGCUUCUUGUAUGAGAUUGCAUGUCGGCAAGUGAGCAGGAAGUAUGCAACAAUUUCUUUGCAUCAGGCUCAUCUCAAUGAUCUUAGUAUUUUUUUAUUAUUAUAUGCAGAUUUUGUCUUUGUUUUAUCCAUUCUUUCUUUGCUGAACCAAAUAGUUUAAACAUAUUGUUGAACAUGCUUUGCUUGAAACAUCAAACAAGACUAUUCUACACAAAGUUGCAGAUGGACUUGAUUGACAUGCAGGCUCAGAUGAGAACAUUAUUUGCAAGAAGGAUCAAAUUAUGACUCAUAGUUUUUGCAUUAGCUUUUCCAUGCUUUCCUUUUGCUAAUACCCCGCUACUCAGUAUUUGAAGAGCAUGAUGAUUUGCAUGCAACUCCCAUUAGGCGUCGCAAGGUAUUAGUGAGGUUCCACAUCAAAGUUUAGAGGAUAUUGUUAUAUCGUUUUACACCGAUCAUGUCAUAAGAUUUCUACAUUACAUAUUUUGUAUUUGCCUUGCAAUUUUGCAAAUCAACCACAGAGAUAUGAUCUCCUCGUAUAAAAAUAUUAGAAGUAAGAACAAAAAUCAGGUUACGUAGCAAUGAUUCUCACAACCAUUUUAUUGUGCAUUUACUUAUUUUGCUCACACUUUUGCUACUCAAGGUUUGACGAGCAUGAUGACUUGCAGGAUUCCUUUUAGGUGUUGCAAGGUAUUGAUGAUGUUUCACUUCCAUUUUUGCAGAGCAUAUGGCUCCUUUUGAGAUCGAUCUUCCAUGGUAAUUUAAAAACCAUGUGUUGGUUGGUAGCUUAUCUUUAUGGGUUAUGCCUUUAGAAACACUUAAUUCACUUUAUGAACCGAUGAUCUGUUGUCACUUUCUUUCAUCAUAUACAUGAUGUUACUAUUAGUUAUGUUGUCCCGACUCUGAGAUUUUCUUUUUAGACCUUAUUUAUUUUGCAUCUAAUUAUAAUUCUUGUCACCAUUCAUCCCAUGAAUGUCAUGCACUCCACAAGAAAUAAGCAGAUGCACUAGGUUUGUCCAAUUCUUCAUUGUUUCUGAAUGUGGUGGCCCUUUCUUAGAUGCUUGCAAAGGUUUCAUUAAUUCACCAUGUAUUCAAUGGAACUACCAAAAUGUCUUAUAUUUACGAACAUAUGGAGUAAUGCUUAUCAUAUUUCUUGCAGUACUAAUUAGUUGUAUUUACUAUGUAUGUUGUCGUACCAAGCUAAUUUGUAUACAUUUAUGGUUUUCUCGACUAUAUAUGAGAUUUCUUUUGAUUACCCACUAAUUUAUUGUUAUGUUUAUGGAAAUUUAAAAUGUAUCAUGUGAUUAUAUAUUUAUGAAAAUUCCGA
This 2553-nucleotide long non-coding RNA is filed under the name Triticum aestivum (bread wheat). RNAcentral's name for it is "long non-coding RNA (TAES_LNC015332)". Lineage: Eukaryota; Viridiplantae; Streptophyta; Magnoliopsida; Poales; Poaceae. The record is from RNAcentral.